Brassica napus (rape) is the source of this 1951-nucleotide RNA transcript. RefSeq lists it as uncharacterized. The transcript is spliced from 11 exons. The record is from RefSeq and is a predicted model, not a curated record. Lineage: Eukaryota; Viridiplantae; Streptophyta; Magnoliopsida; Brassicales; Brassicaceae.
AGGUAAAAGAUAUGUUCGAAUGGAAAUAAGGGCAGAGGAGAAACAAAACACAGAGAGAGAGAGAGAGAGAGAGAGAGAGAGAGCUUCAAUGGAGGAAGACGAUGAAGUGAAGCAAAGAAGUAAACUUGAAGAGAAACAUUCUGAUGAAAGAAGAGAAGAAGAAACAGAAAUGGAUUGUCCCUCGCAUCAUCCCCCGCCUCCACCUGGUGAGUUGUUCGACCUUGAUACUACAGUUGAUCCUAGCUAUGUAAUCUCACUGAUAAGGAAACUCCUUCCUAUCGAUUCGGGAAGUGAAGAAUGUGAUCAAAGCACCGAGUUAAGGCAUAUGAAUGCCAACAAUGCGGUUCAAGCUCGGUCUGGAGAUGGGUUUGUGGAUGCUGCUUCUAAGGGUGAUCCAGAGAGCAUGGACAUUGGAGGUAACCGUAAAGAUUCCACUUCCGAGGAGAAGGACAAGGCGAGUUCAUCAGUGGAAGAGGCAUGGGAAGAGCAUGGUUGCGUUUUGUGGGAUCUUGCCGCCAAUGAAACCCAUGCUGAGCUUAUGGUACAGAACCUCAUUUUACAAGUGCUUCACGCAAACCUUCUAGUUUCAACAUCUGACCGCAUUCGAGAAAUAUCUCUCGGGAUUAUUGGGAACCUUGCUUGCCAUGAAGGUCUGUUGAAACACAUUGAGUCUACAUCCGGACUCGUCAAUACACUUGUGGGGCAGCUGUUUCUCGAUGAUACUCAAUGCCUAACUGAAGUUUGCAGGAUACUCACCACAGGUCUCUAUGGACCUGGAUGCAAUUUUUGGGCCGAGUGUUUGCAGUCUGAUGAUAUACUACGCCGUAUUUUGUGGAUUGCGGAAAAUACCUUGAAUCCUCAUCUUAUUGACAAGAGUGUAGGGCUAUUGUUAGCUAUCUUAGAAGAUCAAUCAGAGGUUGGGAAGCUACUGAUCCCUCCACUAAUGACUCUAGGUUUGACGAGUCUGUUGAUCAAUCUUUUUUCCUUCGAAAUGAGCAAGUUGAUCAAAGAAAGAGUUCCAGAAAGGUACUCCGUUCUUGAAAUGAUUCUCCGAGCUGUUGAAGCCCUUUCUGCUUCAGAUACUCAUUCUAAAGAGAUUUGCUCUAGCAAACAACUUUUUCACUUAGUCUGUGAUCUUAUGAAACUUCAGGCCAAAGCCGAGGUGGCAGCAUGUUGUGUUACUGCAGGAGUUUUAGUCGCAAAUAUUCUGUCGGAAACAGUCAGUUUCAUUCAAGAAGUAUCGCAAGAUUUUUCUUUCUUGGAAGGUUUAUUCAGUACUUUACCAUUUGCUUCGGAUGACGUAGAAGCAAGAAGAGCUCUUUGGAGCGUUAUUGCUAGGUUACUUGCCAGAGUUAAUGAGUCUGAGAUAGACGCAUCUUGUAUGAGACGGUACAUAUUGGUUUUCCUAAGGAACUCAGAUAUUAUAGAAGAUGAUCUUCUUGAUAUCCAACUAGAAGAAGAUCCAAAAGAGGAGUCUCUAAACUCAUUCCCUUCCCAGGGAAAGUCAAGCGCGCGAAGGAUUGCUUGAUAACAGAUACAAAAGAUUGAGUCGAUGUUGAACAAUUGGAAUAUUCGCAAGGAGGAAAGCAUGAAUGGGGACUGCUCUGUAAACACAGCUGAUGUUAAAAGACUAUAUGAUUGCUGUCAAAGAUAUAUCAAAUCAGUUGAAGGGUCUUAACUCAUGGGGAAUAUUUCGCUUAUAAGUUCUCAAUCUUCUCUGUCUUUCAUGGUCAACCAAGGCAUCAUCACAUAUUGACACAUGAAGUCGCAAGCUUUAAGAAAUCGCCGACCCAGUGAGCUUUUGAACAGACAUAUGUUCAGGUUAGAACUUGCCUGUGUGUUCUCAUAGUCAUAGAUCACUUAAGACACUGUCUGAUAAAAUGUAAACCAGAGAAAGAGAUUAGGGAAAAAAACUCAAAUUUUCAGAACGAGAAGAUUCAGAGUCUCUAGA